UACGUAGGGGGCUAGCGUUGUCCGGAUUUAUUGGGCGUAAAGAGCGUGUAGGCGGCCAGGUAGGUCCGUUGUGAAAACUCGAGGCUCAACCUCGAGACGCCGAUGGAAACCAUCUGGCUAGAGUCCGGAAGAGGAGAGUGGAAUUCCCGGUGUAGCGGUGAAAUGCGCAGAUAUCGGGAAGAACACCCGUGGCUAAGGCGGCUCUCUGGGACGGUACUGACGCUGAGACGCGAAAGCGUGGGGAGCGAACAGG
This 253-nucleotide ribosomal RNA is filed under the name uncultured bacterium. RNAcentral's name for it is "partial 16S ribosomal RNA". It matches the Rfam family "Bacterial small subunit ribosomal RNA", at positions 524 to 776 of the family's 1533-position model. The record is from RNAcentral.